UGGAAGCUCCGUGAGAGGGUUGUUUGGAUUGACAUUUUGGUUGAUGGUCACAUCAGGAUGACAUUGAUAGAGAGCUAUUAUUGAAUUGUGGAUUGAACCCUCUCUAUCACUCGAGAUGAGCUCGGUGACUAUGGACACCCGGAGCAUCCGAUACUAAGGAAGGCAUCGAGGAUGAGAAUUUUGAGUGGAGCUUCUUGAGCAACUGAGCGGUUAAUGUUAUGAGAUUUCCUACUGAAGAUAAGCCCUUGGCUAAGGCUUACGAAGAGUUUAUUUGAGACAUUGAGUUGAGACUAAGGGAAUGACCUUAGUGGAAUGGAGAAGCUUCUGAACUUUGGUCCAUGACCAUAUUCAUAGUAGAGGAUUUGAGAGCGCUACCCGGGUGGUGAAGUGAGAUUGACGUGGAGGCAUUGUGAUGCAAUGCCGAUUGAGGAAUCAAGUAGCCACCUUUGGUAAGCAAAUUUGGAUGAUUCGUUGGUUUCCGUUGCUAUCGGAAGGAUUGUUGUCGUGGAUGUUAUUUAUGGAGCCGUUCGUGCUAAGCGAGUUCGGAAUGGUAGCCAUGUGGAAAUUACACCAUACUUAACUAUGGAAUAGAGUUGCACCCUGUUGUGCAAUUUCGUGUCGGAAUUUGAUAUUGGGUUGCGAGAUCAUCGUUGGGAUUUGAGUCAACGAUUCGAUGCUAUCUCACCUCUCUUUGGUGAGUGAUAUUCACGUGAGUACUCCGG
Molecule: long non-coding RNA, 722 nt
Filed under: Ananas comosus (pineapple)
Lineage: Eukaryota; Viridiplantae; Streptophyta; Magnoliopsida; Poales; Bromeliaceae
Description: long non-coding RNA (ACOM_LNC022267)
Source: RNAcentral